RNAcentral lists this non-coding RNA (177 nucleotides) under Cryomorphaceae bacterium. The record is from RNAcentral. Lineage: Bacteria; Pseudomonadati; Bacteroidota; Flavobacteriia; Flavobacteriales; Cryomorphaceae.
AAAUUUGCUCUGUACUUGCGUGCCCACUCGGGGCUUAAAAGGGAAACCGGUGUAAUUCCGGUGCUGUACCCGCAGCUGUAACCUGCUUGACGACUUUUUGAAAUGAUGCCACUGGGAAACUGGGAAGGCCAAAAAGUUGCAGGAAGCCAGAAUACCUGCCUUGAACCAUAACCCCGU